GCUGCUGCCCUCAGCACUCACAGUGGAAGCUCUGGAGCACCUGCUGAGCCCGGGGAGAUGAGGCCUCACCAGCAGGAGGAGGGGCCACAGAAGACCGACUUUGGGAAGAGAGCAGGCAGAAGGGAGCGAGUGCCGGCCUAAGCUGGGGUGUGGGGAGUCAGGGUUCAAUGGGGACAGAGAUUCAGACUAGAAGAUGGAGCAGCUCUGGAGAUGACAGUGGUGAUGGCUGCACAACAGUGUGACUGGGCUUAACGCCACUGGACUGUGCACUUAUUAGAACAGAGCCGACAGUUUCUCAGUCCAGUCCCAGCACAGUGAUUGGUGAUUUAUAUGAAGUCUGCCCCUCCAGUGACCGUGCACUUCCUUCUGAGAGAGAACUGUGCCAGGGGAGGGCUGAGCUCCACCCUCUCCCUCAGUCUCUAAGACACUGAAGCCAUGCUGUGCUCUCACCACCAGAUCCCCACCAGCAUCACACUGACAACACUGCAGGCCAGUGAGCUCCUCUGGGAGGGUCAGGAUCACCAAGCCCUGUGAGAAGGAUGUUAUGGCCAGGAGCAGGACCGCCAUGCAGGAACACUGUGGCAACCCUGUGCAGAAAACCUGUUGGCCCUGCCAGGUGACACAGACUGUGCCGGUGGCACUCGUGAGCUGGCACAGAAAAAGCAGCCGCAUGCCAAGCGCAGGGCUGUGUGGCUUCGUGGCAGCAGAGGCUGCGUCUGCCUGCAGUGAGGAGGGGCUCCGGCUGUGCCCUCAGGAGCAAAGUGCUGGUGAGCCCGUGCGGUGCUGAUGGCUGCAGAAAGCCAAACAGUCACGCUGACCGGACAGUUCCGCCGGGGCAGCCUGGGGACGAGAUCAUGAUGACGACAGUCCCAUGUGAUCCUCAACGUCAGGUCACAGGCACUUCAUGAAUUCUUUCAGGCUGGACUUGUGUUUUCCUAGUGAAAGCCGUCUUGGCGUUGUUCCACAUACAAGUAAUUAUUGGAUUUUUCUUCAAAACAUGUCAUGAAUAUGAGGCAGGAUUUGAGUAUUGAGGCAAAAUAAAUCUAUUUAAAUUCUCCA
Molecule: long non-coding RNA, 1059 nt
Organism: Homo sapiens (human)
Lineage: Eukaryota; Metazoa; Chordata; Mammalia; Primates; Hominidae
Exons: 2
Source: RefSeq, a predicted model, not a curated record